CAUAAAGUGUCUUAGUCGAUAUCAAACACUCAAUUAAGACGCACCAAAGCUAAUAAAUUCAUUCAUAUUUUUGAUAUAUUGGAUCAGCUCUGAAAUGAACGCUGCUAGAGCAUAUUAUAUAUGCAACAACCCAGCUCAUCCCUCGAAUCAGCAGAGGGAAUACGACUACAUUUUUGCUCGCGAAAUAAACAUUCACCCAAUUCCAUGUCCAGUUUGUCACAUGUGUAACAGUCCAAUCAGAAAGGAAGAAGCAUCGGACCGCGAACUUUUUCAAAAAUUGGCAAAAAUUGCAGAUACGCUAUUGAAAAAUCAAAAAAGAUGAAAUAUUCAUAUUUUUGUUAAAUUUCUAUUAAACAAAAUAAAAUAAUGUGAUAUUGAAUCACCGUCGUUGAUUAAAAAUA
This is a long non-coding RNA of Contarinia nasturtii (swede midge), 401 nucleotides long. RefSeq lists it as uncharacterized. The transcript has 2 exons. The record is from RefSeq and is a predicted model, not a curated record. Lineage: Eukaryota; Metazoa; Arthropoda; Insecta; Diptera; Cecidomyiidae.